This 472-nucleotide ribosomal RNA is filed under the name uncultured bacterium. Its description in RNAcentral is "bacterial SSU rRNA". It matches the Rfam family "Bacterial small subunit ribosomal RNA", at positions 355 to 825 of the family's 1533-position model. The record is from RNAcentral.
UGGGGAAUAUUGGACAAUGGGCGAAAGCCUGAUCCAGCAAUGCCGCGUGCAGGAAGAAGGCCUUCGGGUUGUAAACUGCUUUUGUACGGAACGAAAAGGUCCUUUCUAAUAAAGAGGGCUUAUGACGGUACCGUAAGAAUAAGCACCGGCUAACUACGUGCCAGCAGCCGCGGUAAUACGUAGGGUGCGAGCGUUAAUCGGAAUUACUGGGCGUAAAGCGUGCGCAGGCGGUUCUAUAAGACAGAUGUGAAAUCCCCGGGCUCAACCUGGGAAUGGCAUUUGUGACUGUAGAGCUAGAGUACGGUAGAGGGGGAUGGAAUUCCGCGUGUAGCAGUGAAAUGCGUAGAUAUGCGGAGGAACACCGAUGGCGAAGGCAAUCCCCUGGACCUGUACUGACGCUCAUGCACGAAAGCGUGGGGAGCAAACAGGAUUAGAUACCCUUGUAGUCCCUGAGCGGGCUGGCAAGGCGCAU